Molecule: ribosomal RNA, 496 nt
Filed under: uncultured bacterium
Lineage: Bacteria
Description: partial 16S ribosomal RNA
Rfam family: Bacterial small subunit ribosomal RNA
Source: RNAcentral
GAUGAACGCUGGCGGCGUGCCUAAUACAUGCAAGUCGAGCGAACAGACGAGGAGCUUGCUCCUCUGACGUUAGCGGCGGACGGGUGAGUAACACGUGGAUAACCUACCUAUAAGACUGGGAUAACUUCGGGAAACCGGAGCUAAUACCGGAUAAUAUAUUGAACCGCAUGGUUCAAUAGUGAAAGACGGUUUUGCUGUCACUUAUAGAUGGAUCCGCGCCGCAUUAGCUAGUUGGUAAGGUAACGGCUUACCAAGGCAACGAUGCGUAGCCGACCUGAGAGGGUGAUCGGCCACACUGGAACUGAGAAACGGUCCAGACUCCUACGGGAGGCAGCAGUAGGAAAUCUGCCGCACUGGGCGAAAGCCUGACGGAGCAACGCCGCGUGAGUGAUGAAGGUCUUCGGAUCGUAAAACUCUGUUAUUAGGGAAGAACAAAUGUGUAAGUAACUAUGCACGUCUUGACGGUACCUAAUCAGAAAGCCACGGCUAACUACGU